UUAAGCGACUAAGCGUACACGGUGGAUGCCCUGGCAGUCAGAGGCGAUGAAGGACGUGCUAAUCUGCGAUAAGCGUCGGUAAGGUGAUAUGAACCGUUAUAACCGGCGAUUUCCGAAUGGGGAAACCCAGUGUGAUUCGUCACACUAUCAUUAACUGAAUCCAUAGGUUAAUGAGGCGAACCGGGGGAACUGAAACAUCUAAGUACCCCGAGGAAAAGAAAUCAACCGAGAUUCCCCCAGUAGCGGCGAGCGAACGGGGAGGAGCCCAGAGCCUGAAUCAGUAUGUGUGUUAGUGGAAGCGUCUGGAAAGGCGUGCGAUACAGGGUGACAGCCCCGUACACAAAAAUGCACAUGCUGUGAGCUCGAUGAGUAGGGCGGGACACGUGGUAUCCUGUCUGAAUAUGGGGGGACCAUCCUCCAAGGCUAAAUACUCCUGACUGACCGAUAGUGAACCAGUACCGUGAGGGAAAGGCGAAAAGAACCCCGGCGAGGGGAGUGAAAAAGAACCUGAAACCGUGUACGUACAAGCAGUGGGAGCCUCUUUAAUGGGGUGACUGCGUACCUUUUGUAUAAUGGGUCAGCGACUUAUAUUCUGUAGCAAGGUUAACCGAAUAGGGGAGCCGAAGGGAAACCGAGUCUUAACUGGGCGUUAAGUUGCAGGGUAUAGACCCGAAACCCGGUGAUCUAGCCAUGGGCAGGUUGAAGGUUGGGUAACACUAACUGGAGGACCGAACCGACUAAUGUUGAAAAAUUAGCGGAUGACUUGUGGCUGGGGGUGAAAGGCCAAUCAAACCGGGAGAUAGCUGGUUCUCCCCGAAAGCUAUUUAGGUAGCGCCUCGUGAAUUCAUCUCCGGGGGUAGAGCACUGUUUCGGCAAGGGGGUCAUCCCGACUUACCAACCCGAUGCAAACUGCGAAUACCGGAGAAUGUUAUCACGGGAGACACACGGCGGGUGCUAACGUCCGUCGUGAAGAGGGAAACAACCCAGACCGCCAGCUAAGGUCCCAAAGUCAUGGUUAAGUGGGAAACGAUGUGGGAAGGCCCAGACAGCCAGGAUGUUGGCUUAGAAGCAGCCAUCAUUUAAAGAAAGCGUAAUAGCUCACUGGUCGAGUCGGCCUGCGCGGAAGAUGUAACGGGGCUAAACCAUGCACCGAAGCUGCGGCAGCGACACUAUGUGUUGUUGGGUAGGGGAGCGUUCUGUAAGCCGUUGAAGGUGUGCUGUGAGGCAUGCUGGAGGUAUCAGAAGUGCGAAUGCUGACAUAAGUAACGAUAAAGCGGGUGAAAAGCCCGCUCGCCGGAAGACCAAGGGUUCCUGUCCAACGUUAAUCGGGGCAGGGUGAGUCGACCCCUAAGGCGAGGCCGAAAGGCGUAGUCGAUGGGAAACAGGUUAAUAUUCCUGUACUUGGUGUUACUGCGAAGGGGGGACGGAGAAGGCUAUGUUGGCCGGGCGACGGUUGUCCCGGUUUAAGCGUGUAGGCUGAUUUUCCAGGCAAAUCCGGAGAAUCAAGGCUGAGGCGUGAUGACGAGGCACUACGGUGCUGAAGCAACAAAUGCCCUGCUUCCAGGAAAAGCCUCUAAGCAUCAGGUAACAUCAAAUCGUACCCCAAACCGACACAGGUGGUCAGGUAGAGAAUACCAAGGCGCUUGAGAGAACUCGGGUGAAGGAACUAGGCAAAAUGGUGCCGUAACUUCGGGAGAAGGCACGCUGAUAUGUAGGUGAAGCGACUUGCUCGUGGAGCUGAAAUCAGUCGAAGAUACCAGCUGGCUGCAACUGUUUAUUAAAAACACAGCACUGUGCAAACACGAAAGUGGACGUAUACGGUGUGACGCCUGCCCGGUGCCGGAAGGUUAAUUGAUGGGGUCAGCCGCAAGGCGAAGCUCUUGAUCGAAGCCCCGGUAAACGGCGGCCGUAACUAUAACGGUCCUAAGGUAGCGAAAUUCCUUGUCGGGUAAGUUCCGACC
RNAcentral lists this ribosomal RNA (1961 nucleotides) under human gut metagenome. RNAcentral's name for it is "bacterial LSU rRNA". It matches the Rfam family "Bacterial large subunit ribosomal RNA", at positions 1 to 1988 of the family's 2925-position model. The record is from RNAcentral.